GCGGGUGUGGUGGAUGGUUCACAGCUGCCUGAAGUGUGGAUAUUUUCUAGCUUGUGGAAGUAGCAGAACUGGGUUCGACUCCCGGCACCCGCA
This is a non-coding RNA of Mycena galopus ATCC 62051, 93 nucleotides long. Lineage: Eukaryota; Fungi; Basidiomycota; Agaricomycetes; Agaricales; Mycenaceae. The record is from the annotation of a GenBank genome assembly.